RNAcentral lists this unclassified non-coding RNA (240 nucleotides) under soil metagenome. RNAcentral's name for it is "partial contains 5.8S ribosomal RNA, internal transcribed spacer 2, and large subunit ribosomal RNA". The record is from RNAcentral.
AACGAGGCCGACCUGCGGCUGAGUUACCUGCGGAGGGAUCAUUACCGAGUGAGGGCCCUCCGGGUCCAACCUCCCACCCGUGUUUAACGAACCUUGUUGCUUCGGCGGGCCCGCCUCACGGCCGCCGGGGGGCACCCCGCCCCCGGGCCCGCGCCCGCCGAAGACACCUGUGAACGCUGUCUGAAGUUGCAGUCUGAGACACUAGCUCAAUCAGUUAAAACUUUCAACAACGGAUCUCAG